This 301-nucleotide ribosomal RNA is filed under the name uncultured bacterium. RNAcentral describes it as "partial 16S ribosomal RNA". It matches the Rfam family "Bacterial small subunit ribosomal RNA", at positions 509 to 809 of the family's 1533-position model. The record is from RNAcentral.
CAGCCGCCACGGGAACACGGAGGGGGCUAGCGUUGUUCGGAAUUACUGGGCGUAAAGCGCACGUAGGCGGCUUGGUAAGUUAGAGGUGAAAGCCUGGAGCUCAACUCCAGAAUUGCCUUUAAGACUGCCGAGCUAGCAGGUGAGAGAGGUAAGUGGAAUUCCGAGUGUAGAGGUGAAAUUCGUAGAUAUUCGGAAGAACACCAGUGGCGAAGGCGGCUUACUGGCUCAUACUGGACGCUGAGGUGCGAAAGCGUGGGGAGCAAACAGGAUUAGAUACCCCAGUAGUCCCUGUCUCUUAUAA